CAUCAACGCGUACGGGUGUUGGGAGACAUUGCCCGGAGAUGGAUUCUGAGACACGAAUCCAGACCCUACGGGGUGCAGCAGGCGCGAAAACUUGGCAAUGCGAGAAAUCGUGACCAGGGAACUCCAAGUGCGUAGGGUAAGACCUACGCUUUUCUUGACUCUUCAAAGGUCUUGGAAUAAGGGGUGGGUAAGGACGGUGCCAGCCGCCGCGGUAAUACCGGCGCCUCAAGUGGUAGUCGCUUUUAUUGGGCCUAAAACGUCCGUAGCCGGUCUGGUGCAUUCGUGGGUAAAUCAACCCGCUCAACGGGUUGAAUUCUGCGAGCACGGCCAGACUUGGGACCGGGAGAGGUGUGGGGUACUCUCAGGGUAGGGGUAAAAUCCUGUCAUCCUGAGAGGACCACCUGUUGCGAAGGCGCCACACUAGAACGG
Molecule: ribosomal RNA, 429 nt
Filed under: uncultured euryarchaeote
Lineage: Archaea; Methanobacteriati; Methanobacteriota
Description: bacterial SSU rRNA
Rfam family: Archaeal small subunit ribosomal RNA
Source: RNAcentral